GAAUGAAAAGAAAAAGGAAAGAGUACAAGUGGUAUAAAAAAAUGGUGAUUGAAAAAAGAAUGAAAUUUGUCCUCUUGAGUUUCAAAAAGAAAAUGAAAAAGAAUGAAAAGAUAAGAGCAAGAGGAAAGAAAAGUAUGAUUAUUUACCAAAGGUUGAGGAGGUGGUGAGAGUUGUGUGAUAAGUAAGAGUGAUUUAGUUAUAAUGGAAUGUUUUUGAAAAUUGUUCUCUUAGACUUUGAGGUAUAUUUGCUUAUACUGAAAAACAAAUGUUCUUUGGAGUCCAGCCAUGUUACAAGCUGAAAAAGACCUUAGUGAUCCAUGUUUGAUUGUGUAUUUUGUGACAUGUGUAGAGAUGAAUAUCAAAGUUGAUUUGUAUGAAUGAAAUAUAUGAAUUGAGAGAAACACUCACCUUGCUUAUUUUUGUUCUGAGUGAAACACUUAUGUGAGGAAUGCAUUUAUGAUUGAUUUACAUUUAAAUGAACUUUGCAUUAACAUUUCAAUUUGACAUUCCAAAAGGUUCAUAAACACUCUUGCAUUUCAUGGGACCAUUAUUAAUACCUUUAGAAAACAUUGCAAUUAAAAAUCAUGCAAUUUGAAAACUUUUAAUUUGAAAAACUUGAUAUUAAUAAAACCAUGGUCCUUCAUUUUUAAAGUCAUUUGAAUCAUGUUUUAAAUUCCUUUUUUAUAGGACUUUUGUUUGAAGAAAAACAAAUUUUUAAGUUGGGAGAGUUGAUAAGGGCUCAAUUACCAUAUAUUUGAUAUAUUCUUAAAGCACUUAUUAACUUAAUUUGAUAGAAAACAUGAUAUUUUACCCAAUCCAUGUAAAUAUUUAGUUAUUAAGGUUUGAGAUAUAAGAAAUGAGAUAUGUUGCAUCUUUCCUUGUUUUCCUAGGUAAAAUGAGAGUAGUAAUUAAAGAAAAGAGCAACCAAGAUCAUUGGAGCCAAGAUUUGAGGAAUCAGGGCAGAUGGAACUCGUCGAGCAAGACACCUUCUGGCUGAUUGAGUUCAAGGCAGCGAGUUUCCUAUAUUUUGCAAAUGGAAUUCACUUAUCAAGACAUCUUCUGGCUAAGCGAGCUCAAGAAAAUGAGUUCGUUAGAUUUUGCAAAGUCAAUCUCGCUAAGAGAAUACUAAUCUCGCUGAGUGAAAUUAAAGGCGGUUUGAUAUUUAGAAUGUGUUUCACCAGGAAGCAUACUCACUCGCUAAGCAAAUUAGAUGUUUGUUGAGCGAAAUGUCAUUUAUCAGAAAACUAUUUAAAGUUGAAGCAUCUGCCAAAUGAAAAAAGUGGGAAAAAGAAAGUAAGGACAAUGAGGGGGAAACCAGAAGAAUUCACUUGAAAGACCAUUAGAUAAGCCUGGGAAUCAUUGUUGAUGCCCAAUUUCUCUUCUUUUCCUCUUGAUCUUGUAAAGCUCUGAUGAUAAUGAGUAGCUAAAUCUCUCUUUGUUGGGGUCAGAUGUAAUCAAUCAUACUCUUUUGCAUCUCUUUUCAUUUAUAGUUAUAUAUAUUCUCG
RNAcentral lists this long non-coding RNA (1505 nucleotides) under Cicer arietinum (chickpea). RNAcentral's name for it is "long non-coding RNA (CARI_LNC003499)". Lineage: Eukaryota; Viridiplantae; Streptophyta; Magnoliopsida; Fabales; Fabaceae. The record is from RNAcentral.